AGGUUACCCCACGGAUAAAGGUGAACUAGUGUUACAACCCAUGUAGUUGAAGAUGAAGGAAGUGCUGCGUGAUGGGCAUUACCAGUCACAGGUGCCUCUCCAGCUAGACUCAUGCUGCAGAGGAGAGGGAGCAAAGAUGGCACAGAGUCAUCUCAGAUGGACCCGCGUAUUGACAAUGUGAUGUGUCAUGCACUACCUAGAGGACAGCUGUGGCAGGUCGAACGCUGUAUACAGCUCAAGGGCCCACAGGUUGGGUCAAGUUGAUCUAUGGUUGGUACGGAGGCUGGCGGCUCGGUUGUCUCAGAACGUGUGUCUGAAUCUUUCACGUGGUCUCCAACUGGCGCCGGCUGCCGUCUGUCCACCUGUGUCCCAGCUGUCAAUCAUGGGGGUUGGAGGAUGAUGAGUAAUCUUGGGCCCCAUCUUGAGAGACGCGCUGUCCUUGGCCUACUUCUCCCUGACAGAUGUGCAGUGGUCCGCACACCUGUGUUAUGAGCCAAUCACUGGGGUGAAUCAGAGAUAAUGUACUGAACAGUACAGCUUUAAUCGAGUGGGCGGUACAGCUAUUUGUGCUGAGGGUGGCCAGGCUAUGUUCCCUGUCCGUGGUGCUGAAUUCUAGAUAAUCCCUUGACAGAUCUGACGUGGGAUUCAACUUGAUGCCAAUGUUGACCCUUACUUGACAUUUGCCCCCCAUAGAGGCAAAAGGAAUGGAGAAACCCCAAUUGGGAUCUCUACUGGCUGACUCUACCGGAUGGGAAUCUCUACCCUGACAUAUACAUGAUUUCCUUGUGACCUCCUGACAUCUCUGAAAGGAAGGCGAGUCUAAGUUGUGUGUGGAUGUUCACUUCAGCACCAAGGAGAGCACCCAUGGGCCAGCCUAGGCGGAUGUGGGGUUGGGAUGACUUGUGCAACUUGUAGGAUUUUGGCACCAAGGAGAGCACCCGUGGGUCAGCCUAGGCGGAGGUGCGGUUGGGAUGACUUGUGCAACUUGUAGGAUUUUUGGUGGACCCUGUGAUUCCAGUCGAGUGGAGAGGGGGUGGAUUUGUGGACGGUGACCAAGCGAGGGUCAAGUACACAGCUGGCACGCACCGGAGCACGCUAACGAACUUCUUGACCCCCUUUUGCGCGCUGCCGCUUCCCAUGUCACCGGGUAUUCAAAUUCCUGAACACCUGUGCUGGCAUGCUAUUGUGGCAGCAGAAGAAAGGCGAGCACAAAUUAUGUGGGAGAAACAAGGGAUGCAGAAAUUUGUUUGUUGUCGUAACACUCCAACACCUGUCUUUACCAUCGCCUUUUCUUCACCGCCAGAGAAAAAAGUUUUGUGUUCAAAGUCGGGGAGAUGAAAAAGGCGGGCCCUGUGUCUCCCUGCCCUUUAGCACAGAAGCCCUGGUAACAGAAUCUGUUUUUGUAUGACUACUGAUUAGCAGGCAGAACUGUGCUACUGUUUUACACUCUCCAUGUUAUUAGGUCUGACCUGGGCGGCAGCCACACUUCUGUUUGGGGGAUGCAAAUGUAAUUACACAAACCUUGUCAACAGUGACUGAAGGCCAGGUGCCCCUGCUCCCAGUGUCGGAUUCAAACCCCCAACCCCUAGACAGACUUCACAACACAUGAUUGAUGGUUAAGUGUACAGAGCAGCUCUGAUUGCUCCCACUGUUUCCCCCUGAAGUGAAACCAUACAGGAGAUCGGAACUGUGAACUCCUGAACCCCAAAGGUCUCUCUCAAGCUCCUGCUUUGACUGCUCUAUUUCCCAUGUUGAAUUUCACACGGACUGUGAAGGAUGUGAAGACAAAAACAUGCAGAUGAUUUCUGUGGGAAACAGGUCUGGUGUAGCUGCAUGAGCAGUGAUGCUAGCCCUGCCCAAGAAUCCUAGACAUGCACCAUAAACCCAUCAUCUGUAACCAAUACCUAUGGAUUGGAUUAGCUUCUGUGACCUGAAAUAGGCCGUAGUUGUUGAACAGUGAGUAGGGUGACAUAAAUGUGUGCCUGAAGAGGGUAAAUGUCUACCCAUCAUUAAAAUUUGUGACUGUAAAUUUUUA
Molecule: long non-coding RNA, 2035 nt
Organism: Branchiostoma floridae (Florida lancelet)
Lineage: Eukaryota; Metazoa; Chordata; Leptocardii; Amphioxiformes; Branchiostomatidae
Exons: 10
Source: RefSeq, a predicted model, not a curated record